UACGAAGGGGGCUAGCGUUGCUCGGAAUCACUGGGCGUAAAGCGCACGUAGGCGGAUUGCUAAGUCAGGGGUGAAAUCCUGGAGCUCAACUCCAGAACUGCCUUUGAUACUGGCGAUCUUGAGUCCGGGAGAGGUGAGUGGAACUGCGAGUGUAGAGGUGAAAUUCGUAGAUAUCAGGAGGAACACCGGUGGCGAAAGCGGCUUCCUGGCCCGACAUUGACGCUCAUGUACGAGAGCGUGGGGAGCAAACAGG
Molecule: ribosomal RNA, 253 nt
Filed under: uncultured bacterium
Lineage: Bacteria
Description: partial 16S ribosomal RNA
Rfam family: Bacterial small subunit ribosomal RNA
Source: RNAcentral